Molecule: ribosomal RNA, 559 nt
Filed under: uncultured bacterium
Lineage: Bacteria
Description: partial 16S ribosomal RNA
Rfam family: Bacterial small subunit ribosomal RNA
Source: RNAcentral
UGGGGAAUAUUGGACAAUGGGCGCAAGCCUGAUCCAGCAAUGCCGCGUGAGUGAUGAAGGCCUUAGGGUUGUAAAGCUCUUUCGCACGCGACGAUGAUGACGGUAGCGUGAGAAGAAGCCCCGGCUAACUUCGUGCCAGCAGCCGCGGUAAUACGAAGGGGGCUAGCGUUGUUCGGAAUUACUGGGCGUAAAGGGCGCGUAGGCGGCCUGUUUAGUCAGAAGUGAAAGCCCCGGGCUCAACCUGGGAAUAGCUUUUGAUACUGGCAGGCUUGAGUUCCGGAGAGGAUGGUGGAAUUCCCAGUGUAGAGGUGAAAUUCGUAGAUAUUGGGAAGAACACCGGUGGCGAAGGCGGCCAUCUGGACGGACACUGACGCUGAGGCGCGAAAGCGUGGGGAGCAAACAGAUUAGAUACCCUGGUAGUCCACGCCGUAAACGNUGAAUGCUAGACGUCGGGGUGCAUGCACUUCGGUGUCGCCGCUAACGCAUUAAGCAUUCCGCCUGGGGAGUACGGCCGCAAGGUUAAAACUCAAAUGAAUUGACGGGGUCAUAGCUGUUUCCU